UGUGGUUCAAUAUAAGAGAGACCGUUUGGGCACGUGUGGUAGACUUUACACACGAUCCCUAUGGAACCACACAUACACACGCGUAUGUGUGGUGCAGCGAGGAGAAUAACCACCAAUGCCCGGGUAUUUGUGGUGCAAAGUGCCAUUUGAAGCGGUGAAAUUUAGACGUCUCUCUCGCGCGCGUAUGUUUUGGUAUAGGUAUCGAUCGGCCAGCUAGUUUGUUUUCAAUUUUGACAGAACGAACGAUACCGUUGUUUUCCUUUUUUGAGGAUCCAGUUUGUACCUCGAUGUCCUGAUUUUGUGUCAUGAUAGAUCUUCAUCCAUAUAAUCGAACCCUGGUAGAAGUAUUAUCAUCAGAUGCAUUAGAACCAGCUUUAUUUCAUCUUUGGUCUUCAUACCAUCAUUCAGACUCUCAGCUGUACCAUUAUAGGUGGAUUGAAAGAUCAAUAUUUAUGCAGUUAAAAUGCCCUGGUAGAAGUAUUAUCAUCAGAUGCAUUAGAACCAGCUUUAUUUCAUCUUUGGUCUUCAUACCAUCAUUCAGACUCUCAGCUGUACCAUUAUAGGUGGAUUGAAAGAUCAAUAUUUAUGCAGUUAAAAUGCCCUGGUAGAAGUAUUAUCAUCAGAUGCAUUAGAACCAGCUUUAUUUCAUCUUUGGUCUUCAUACCAUCAUUCAGACUCUCAGCUGUACCAUUAUAGCCCUGGUAGAAGUAUUAUCAUCAGAUGCAUUAGAACCAGCUUUAUUUCAUCUUUGGUCUUCAUACCAUCAUACAGACUCUCAGCUGUACCAUUAUAGGUGGAUUGAAAGAUCAAUAUUCAUGCAGUUAAAAUGAUGCUGUAAGUAGAAAUGGAAGGUGUCCAUCCCUCUGAACUGCCUUAUACCUGCCUGCACCCAGUCAUCUUGGCGUCUACAUGCUCAAAUAUUUUUAAUAAGAAAU
Molecule: long non-coding RNA, 935 nt
Filed under: Lytechinus variegatus (green sea urchin)
Lineage: Eukaryota; Metazoa; Echinodermata; Echinoidea; Temnopleuroida; Toxopneustidae
Description: uncharacterized LOC121410866, transcript variant X2
Source: RNAcentral